AACCUGCAGCUUCAGAGGCAAAUGGCUGAGAAGGAGCAGGCUAGGGCAGAUCAGAAACAAGAGGUUACUCUAAAGUAAAUCUUCUCCCACCCUGUUAUGUAUGGGGUUUGAUUUUGAUUUUUAAAGCUAGCCCCUCAAAUAUAUGCAUGGAAAUAUGGUAGUCUAUCACAUGCAGGUCCACAGAGUCACAUCACAGGAUGGCAAAUACUAUAGAAAAACUCAAAUAAACAUAGCAGAAAAUGAGAGGAGAGGAUAUUUCACGCACUCUGACCAAAAUCCCUGAAGUUGCUGCAAAAUUCUUACAUGUAUUUCCAGUAAAAUACCAGAGUACCAGUAACAUACAAUGGUGUUAACAUCGAAAAGAGAUACCUCCAAAAAUGAAAAGCAGGAUUCAAAUUAAGGGGAACUCCCAGCAAAUGAAGGAGCCAGUGUAUUUGUUUCUAAUCAAGUUAAAGAUUAAUGGGAAAGUCCAUAAACAGAGAACAUGAGGACUCAUGCAUGGUUUGUACAGAAUUAGCUGAUUAUCUGUUGCAUAAAGCUCUCAAGUAAAUGAACUACACUAAGGAGCUCUUGGAUGCUUUUAACCAAUAGCCAAUCAGCUACAGAUCGCUAUUUCCCACUUCUACUCCUAAUGGAAGUAUAUUCAACUUAUUUUUAAACAAAGUAUUUUCUGUACCCAAAUGGUAAACAAAUCCCUGAUUAAAUGGAGAGAUAGCAAACCCAGACAAUUUGCAUCUUUGUAACUGCACCUUGAGUCACAUAAUUAUACACUGUAAAACCACUGUGAAGGGCUUAGGAUAAUAUUCCCCAUCUCGACAAAAGACAGAGUUAGGAACUGCCGCAAAAUGAGGGAACUAAUUUAUGUAAUAUCACCACCUGAGGUGAGUUGCAAUGCCUGAAGGUCCUAAGUCUCCAAAGCAGGAGUGAAUUUAAAAUACUAUGGAAAAGGCUGCAGAGUUGUGUUUACUGAUCUAAGUGUGUUUACAGUCCAUGCAUGCCCAUUCUCACUUUAUGACAAUGGAAACUGAGGAGCUGACAAGGCCAGAAGCGCAAUGACGCCCCAUAAGUCCUCGCCGCUUGCCCUUCCCAGUGAGCCAUAACAAACACGCAGCUGACAACCGCAAGAUUACUUUAUCUGACAUCAGCACUUGAAUCCUAACUCACCAGCUCUGUGGCACAGAUCCACACUAUUAGAGCUGCAGAGCAAUCCCGUUUUGACGUCUGUGAAAGCCUCACCUCUGGGCUUCCUCCCAGCAGCGCUGGGGCAAGGGAACAGUUGCAAA
RNAcentral lists this long non-coding RNA (1283 nucleotides) under Dromaius novaehollandiae (emu). RNAcentral describes it as "lncRNA (ENSDNVG00000000583.1)". Lineage: Eukaryota; Metazoa; Chordata; Aves; Casuariiformes; Dromaiidae. The record is from RNAcentral.